Long non-coding RNA from Gambusia affinis (western mosquitofish), 1161 nucleotides. RefSeq lists it as uncharacterized. The record is from RefSeq and is a predicted model, not a curated record. The transcript has 3 exons. NCBI's taxonomy places the organism in Eukaryota, Metazoa, Chordata, Actinopteri, Cyprinodontiformes, Poeciliidae.
GAAACACAGGAAGGAAGAACUCACCUGGGAAACCUGCAUCAUAGUUUCCCUCCAUGUCCUGUCCACGGCCGUGAAGCGCCGGCCCUCCUCAGGCAUCUGCACCAUGAUGUCCGGGGAGCUGAAGAUGGGCUCCAGGUACAGCCAGACGAACUGCACCUUCAGCCACUCAUCCAGGAUCUCCUGCAGGAGCAGCAUCUUUCCUUCCCACGCACUGAAAUGAAGCAGAAAAACGGGACUUGCACCUCGGGAUGGGCUUGAUGAAGGGUGAGCCCUUCAUGGUUUGCGUCUUCACGAUGUGGUCGUCCAGCAGUAGUUGGACCUCCUCCACGGACGACAGGAUGAAGGUUCCCGUCUCCCGAUAGGCCAGCAGGGUGAACUCUAUGUCCACCCACUCGCCGGCCAUCUUCUCCAGGGCCUUCUCCAGAGAGUACUCCUUGCUGGCCGCCUCGCUGAUGCCGUCGAAGCUGGGCAGGUGUUCCUCCAGCUUCAGGGACAGGUACUGAGCCACGCAGGCCUGCUCGUCGGCCGGGUGCAGCGAGAAGCCGGCCAGCUCCGACAUGGCGUCCCAGUGGCGGGCCCGCAGCCCCGGGUUGCACAGCACCUACACACCGCCAGAGAUCCCCAGCAGCACAGAAAUGUCAUAUCUACCAGAGGACAAACUGUUUUUGACGGUCUCUACCUGCACCAUGGGGAUGUGCGACUUGAAACUCUCCACUUUAGCCUUUACGAUCUUGGCUAUUUUCAGGGCAUUGGGAACUUGAGAGAAACCUUUCUCCAGCUUGUACAACGUGCGCCAGUAGUUCCCAACGUCGCCCUCCACCUACAGGAAAACAGUUUUUAUUGGGCAUGAAAAUAUUAAAACACUAGAGUCACGUGAGCGUUAUUUUGUGGUUUGGUACCUUGUCUGGAGGAACCCCGGACAGCGGCCCGUGGAGCCACUUCUCAUUGUCCUGCAGGAAUUCAGACGACGUUUCAUACAGGCGCAGGAACGGCGUGAGCCCGUCCUGGAUCUGUUUCCGCUGGGGAAACUGGGACACGGGCCAGCCGAAGGCCUCCUCUUCCAUGUUGAGGUCGUUAAUCUUCUCAGAGCGAGACGAAGGAAACGGACAAUCCAGAAAUGAUUAAACUUUUAGAAAAUAAAAUGACAAAACUGAUAAAAAA